CCUCUACUCUAUAUUCACCAUGCUCUAGUCUAGUCUAGACUCCUGGAGGAGGGUUAACAGACAGUCCUCUACUCUAUAUUAACCAUGCUCUAAUCUAGACUACUGGAGGAGGGUUAACAGACAGUCAGUCCUCUACUCUAUAUUCACCAUGCUCUAGUCUAGACUACUGGAGGAGGGUUAACAGACAGUCAGUCCUCUACUCUAUAUUCACCAUGCUCUAGUCUAGUCUAGACUCCUGGAGGAGUGUUAACAGACAGUCAGUCCUCUACUCUAUAUUCACCAUGCUCUAGUCUAGUCUAGACUACUGAAGGAGGGUUAACAGACAGUCAGUCCUCUACUCUAUAUUCACCAUGCUCUAGUCUAGUCUAGACUCCUGGAGGAGUGUUAACAGACAGUCAGUCCUCUACUCUAUAUUCACCAUGCUCAAGUCUAGACUCCUGGAGGAGGGUUAACAGACAGUCAGUCCUCUACUCUAUAUUCACCAUGCUCUAGUCUAGUCUAGACUACUGGAGGAGGGUUAACAGACAGACAGUCCUCUACUCUAUAUUCACCAUGCUCUAGUCUGGACUCCUGGAGGAUAGUCUAGACUAGAGCAUGGUGAAUAUAGAGUAGAGGACUGACUGUCUGUUAUCCCUUCUCCAGUAGUCUAGACUAGAGCAUGGUGAAUAUAGAGUAGAGGACUGUCUGUUAACCCUCCUCCAGGAGUCUAGACUAGAGCAUGGUGAAUAUAGAGUAGACUACUGGAGGAGGGUUAACAGACAGUCAGUCCUCUAUUCUAUAUUCACCAUGCUCUAGUCUAGUCUAGACUCCUGGAGGAGGGUUAACAGACAGACAGUCCUCUACUCUAUAUUCACCAUGCUCUAGUCUAGUCUAGACUCCUGGAGGAGGGUUAACAGACAGUCCUCUACUCUAUAUUCACCAUGCUCUAGUCUAGACUCCUGGAGGAGGGUUAACAGACAGUCCUCUACUCUAUAUUCACCAUGCUCUAGUCUAGACUACUGGAGGAGGGUUAACAGACAGUCCUCUACUCUAUAUUCACCAUGCUCUAGUCUAGACUACUGAAGGAGGGAUAACAGACAGUCAGUCCUCUACUCUAUAUUCACCAUGCUCUAGUCUAGUCUAGACUACUGGAGGAUGGUUAACAGACAUUCAGUCCUCUACUCUAUAUUCACCAUGCUCUAAUCUAGACUACUGGAGGAGGGUUAACAGACAGUCAGUCCUCUACUCUAUAUUCA
Molecule: long non-coding RNA, 1235 nt
Organism: Oncorhynchus tshawytscha (Chinook salmon)
Lineage: Eukaryota; Metazoa; Chordata; Actinopteri; Salmoniformes; Salmonidae
Source: Ensembl